Molecule: ribosomal RNA, 576 nt
Filed under: uncultured eukaryote
Lineage: Eukaryota
Description: SSU rRNA
Rfam family: Eukaryotic small subunit ribosomal RNA
Source: RNAcentral
CUAAAAACCCCGACUUCGGAAGGGGUGUAUUUAUUAGAUACAAACCAAUGCCCUUCGGGGCUCUUUGGUGAUUCAUGAUAACUAUACGAAUCGCACGGCCUUGCGCCGGCGAUGGUUCAUUCAAAUUUCUUCCUUAUCAACUUUCGAUGUUUGGGUAUUGGCCAAACAUGGUUGCAACGGGUAACGGAGGGUUAGGGCUCGACCCCGGAGAAGGAGCCUGAGAAACGGCUACUACAUCCAAGGAAGGCAGCAGGCGCGCAAAUUACCCAAUCCCGACUCGGGGAGGUAGUGACAAUAAAUACUGAUACAGGGCCCUUUCGGGCCUUGUAAUUGGAAUGAGUACAAUUUAAAUCCCUUAACGAGGAACAAUUGGAGGGCAAGUCUGGUGCCAGCAGCCGCGGUAAUUCCAGCUCCAAUAGCGUAUAUUAAAGUUGUUGUGGUUAAAAAGCUCGUAGUUGAACCUUGGGCCUGGCUGGCCGGUCCGCCUCACCGCGUGCACUGGUCCGGCCGGGCCUUUCCCUCUGUGGAACCCCAUACCCUUCACUGGGCGUGGCGGGGAAACAGGACAUUUACUUU